GGGAACUCCAUUUCGCCUUGAUGAUCAGAGGGGUUGCUAUAAGGCUUUUUACGCGCAGCUGUAUUUCGGAAAGUUGUAGUUUCAACGAUUUAAUUGAAGAUAUCCUGGCAAAUACUUUAUGUAAAGCGAAGUCAAACUCUAAAGUAAAAGUGAAAGUGAGACAGAUUUUUUGUUUGAGGAAUCUUGGAGUGUUAUGAUUCAAACGAACUGAGCUGCUGUUUCUGCAAGGACAGGACGUACUUCUGGACGGUGAUAGCGACUCCGACUGGGAGGCCCCGGUGCCAAGCAGCCCGCUCUACCUGUGCCACCAGUGGUGUUCAUAUGCCACAGUUCAUUACUGCAGGCAUGACUGUGCCUCAGAGCCAAAAGGGCACAGCAUGGAGGCGUCGUUGUGUUCUGUGUCACAUGAAAUGCACCACUUGUUCAGUUUGCCUCUGCUUUACAUCAGAAAGAGACUGCUAUGGGACAUGGCACAGGCAACAAAAUAUUAUGACGAGGACUUCCAAGGGAUCUACUGUGUUAUAUUCUCCUACAUUCAAUUAACAUUUCCACAAACUUCAGAAUGUUUCCAUUCAAAUGAUACCAACAAUAUGCAUACCCUUGCCUCUGGGGCUGAGAUACAGGCAGUUAGAUUUGGGUAUGUCUUCAGGCGGAAAUUGAGAACAAAGGGUUGCAGCCAUAACAGGUUUUACCAUAGUAUGGUUGUUUUCCUUAAAAAGAGCAAGGUUUGUUGUUCAUGCUGGGUUAUUGUGUUAUCACCCAACCGCUCAGAUCAGAAGACUGAGCAGUUGCUUUCAGUUAGUUAUUUUCUGGAAACCCAUGAGAGUAAAUGUUAAUGUGUUGUAUUGUUAUGAACUGUUACUUUUAAAUACUGAUACUUAUGUAGUGUUAAUGAUGCUUUCAUAAGUGCAUGAGAUCUGUAUAUGUAAUGAAUA
Oncorhynchus masou masou (cherry salmon) is the source of this 935-nucleotide long non-coding RNA. RefSeq lists it as uncharacterized. Lineage: Eukaryota; Metazoa; Chordata; Actinopteri; Salmoniformes; Salmonidae. The record is from RefSeq and is a predicted model, not a curated record. The transcript is spliced from 3 exons.